Molecule: long non-coding RNA, 738 nt
Filed under: Rattus norvegicus (Norway rat)
Lineage: Eukaryota; Metazoa; Chordata; Mammalia; Rodentia; Muridae
Description: long non-coding RNA NONRATT019152
Source: RNAcentral
CUCAAAAGGACAGAAAAUAGAUAGGUAGGUAGGUAGGUAGAUAGAUAGAUAGAUAGAUAGAUAGAUAGAUAGAUAGAUAGAUAGAUAGAUAGAUAGGGAGAGAGCUGAGCUGCCUGAGAAGCAUCUCUGAGGUUAGCAGCCACCCAGCCUCUUCAGACCCUGUCCCCCUGCCUCCACCCCGGGGCCCAGCUGCUGUUCCCUGACUCCCCUGACUCCCAGAAACUCAGAGCACUUCUCAGAUUUUAAAAAAAAAACAACGCAAGGGCGCACUUUCUCUCUCUUUCUGGAAUCAAUGAUGUACUUAACUAUUGCCAAAAUCCUUAGACUCCUUCGACCCUUUGCAGUCCGGCGGCUUCUGACAUCACUUCCUGUUGGCCGUGGCCGCGAUCCUGCGCCGCAGGGUACAUUUGUAUAUACUGCCGUUUGGAAGCUGGAAGGAUGCCUUGCACACUGUUGUAGUCUUUUGCCUGUCUGGUUUUAUUUGUUGUUCUUCUGCCUAACCACCUUUUUGUUUUUAUAACUGCUGGGGAGGCCCCUGGACGCUUGCACUGUAGCUAGGUCCCCGGCCGGCUGCUGCGUACUUGACUUUAUUGUAAACCCCUGGGCUCUGAGUAAGUCGUUUGAAUAUAGCAUCACGAUUGCACCUUUCUCUUCUUAUCCUGAGGGAAAGAAUCUCUCUGUCGCCUUCCGGUUGCGCCCUCGUAUCUGCCUCUCUAAUAAAUAUUAUUAUUUUUCUCA